This is a small nucleolar RNA of Hevea brasiliensis (rubber tree), 106 nucleotides long. The record is from RefSeq and is a predicted model, not a curated record. NCBI's taxonomy places the organism in Eukaryota, Viridiplantae, Streptophyta, Magnoliopsida, Malpighiales, Euphorbiaceae.
AUCCCAUGAUGUGGAUAUAUCCUUUGCAAAUUCUUGCAUCUUUUCCAUGUUCAUACAAGCUCUUAUCAUCUUUAGGUCUGAAAGAAGUUAGCCCAUUUCUUAGCUU